This 4976-nucleotide long non-coding RNA is filed under the name Gallus gallus (chicken). The record is from RNAcentral. Lineage: Eukaryota; Metazoa; Chordata; Aves; Galliformes; Phasianidae.
AUUGGUUCUGCGACUCUGGGCGGGCGGGGCGCGCGGGGUGAGGCGAAUGGCGGCCCGCGGGACUGAGUUGUGAGGGAAAGCGCGUGCAGGGGGCUUCGCGCCUCUCACCUCAGCGCCCACGGCUCUGUUCGCCCGCGGCGGAGUGGGCGCGCGGGUGGCUGCCGCGCUGACUUACAACUGCGUUGUUCUCUCGAGGCGCUUCCCGAUAACAGACCAAGCGCGAAGCCUAGCCCCGGAGGCGCAACGCUCGCGUGAGGCGAUGGCUGUUGCCCGCAGCAGCCUCCUAACGGUACGCCGCCGCCCGCGGAGCGCUCCCGUCCCGCUGAGGCGCGGUUAUGGCAGCGCCGCUGCGUUUCCUGGCGCCGCUCCGUGAAGGUGCGGUGCGCGCUGACUCAGUCACUCCAGGGAGAGAGGUUUACUACAUGUUUCCAGCUCUGCUGGUUUUGCAACAGAGAAGGCCGGAGUUUGUUGUUCUUGGUGGAAACUUGGAGUCGGUAUUACAUAACUCGGAGCUGGAGCCCUGAGCGGGCCUGGGCCGUCGUUCCUUUUGCCCAAGGAUGUAUCAGCUCUGUUGGCAAUGCGUGUGUGAGGAGCACAGGAGACAACGCUCCUUGUGUUUGUACUUUAAAUUCUUGUGCAGUGUACCAUCCCUAAUAUCUCAUUUGUCCACGAGAAGCACAGAGCUCAGCUUUUAGAUGGAGAGCCAAAGAUUGCUGCCACCUCUUUAAAAGGGAAUUCAGGCACAUGAAGCCCUUUGCUGGUGGUGUGCUGAAAGUAACAGUUUAACUUUUUGUAGUGAUAAAUGUAAACAUAAUGGAGUGUUCCACCCUCUGUCAAACACGUCCUCUGGCCCAACUUACCUGCACCGCUGCUACGAUUCAGGAAGUGCCCAUGGCAUAAUGAAGGCAUGUGGCACUGUUUACCUUUAUUCUGCAAGCUCUCAAGCCUGGGAUCCAGGCUGUCCUUCAGCAAAUCACUUUUAGACCAACUUCUACCCUGUGUGAGAUUUGAAGUAGCGCCUUGGUAAAGUCACAGCACACCGUGGGAUAUUUGGUUUCAUAAGCAGUGCAGUGUGUGUAGAAUAUUAAAGAUGGGUGCAAGAUAAAAUCAAUGUAGUACAUUCAGAUUAAGACGACAAUUAUUUUUUUAACUUAAAAACAGUUUCAAUCUAUAAACCAGACUCCUUAAGAGGAACAAAAAAUAUAUAUCAUACUUACAAUACUAAGAUCAUAUGAAAAACCAUACCCAGCCACACCCAGGAAUUUGAAGCCACUCUUUUGCUUUGCUGCUUGUGGUACUUGACACGAGAACCAUGUUAACUGGUCCGUUCUGCUUUGAUUCCCAUGCGCAGCAAAACUGCUUCCUAUUUCUCACUGGAAUUGUAACAGGUUUUCUUACAAAUUCUCAGGUUUAAAUCCUUGGACAUAAUGACUAUUUGCUUUCAUUGUUUUUUCCUCUCAUGUUUUGCUGCUCACGAAUUGAAAAGUAUUAAGACAAUCUGAAAAUAGGUGAUCUAAAUGAGCAACUGUGGACAAGUUCCACAACCAUCUUUUAAUUGUAAAUACAGCAGGCUUGAAAAUUGUGAUUCCAUAGAACAGGUUGUGUAUCUCUUUUCUGGUAUAGAUACUUAUCUUUACAAGACUUAAUUUUUUUUCUAAUACUAAAUUUUAAGUAGAAUUAGAAACAAAAAUUUUUGUUGUUGUAAGAUAUUCUUUUGCUUAAUGUGUACCAUCUCGAGGAAACUUACCCCACAUCCAGCAAGAGAUCUUCUGUUGCCUUCUUUUAGGCAGCCUUGGCUCAGAUUGUAAUCAGAUCUGUACCCAAAGCUGCUAUCACCUGUAUGUGUUAAUUUAUACAGAGCCAUCAGCUUGCUUCAAUUGGAAAUUAUCCUGCAUUUGCUUACAUCAGUAAGGGGGAAGCUAAGACUGAACUGAUAUCUGCAGCUGGACUUAAAUGGGGUGGAUGAAAAGAUAAGCACUGCCAAGCUUCACUAUUUUUUUUUUCUUGCAGGCUUUUAUAUUUGUGGCAGCUAAAUGCGUAAGUGUGUUCUGGAGUUGAAAGUUUAUAGACCAGCAGCAACAGUAGACCAAAGUGGGUGGCAGUUUAUGUAAGUCUGUUGUCUAAGCUUAGGCUCAGAUGGUAGGUGUAAUCAGAGUGGUUUUAAUGAUAGAGUGUAUUAAUUUCUCUGCAAAAGUUGUUGCUCUGAAUGUCUUCUUUGUAUUUUAUCAAGCCUUGCUAAGGCUUGCAUGAUUUACUGUUUGAUUUGCAGCUCUCCAUAGGUUUCCAUUUCCUUUCUAUUUUUUUUUCUAUUUCUUUUUCUUGCUUUACUGAACUAUCUUCUUUCCUUUAGCUCUUGCAUGGAUGUACUUAACAGUGCUUUCUUCAGACUUGUACUCUCUUCAAACUGUUGAUUUCUUCUGAUCAGGCUCAUCUCAAUCUCUCAGCUUGGCGAUUCCAAACAGCAAUUUCCAGUUACUAUGUCUGUUUUAUGCUACAUAGAAAUAAGGUAGAGAUAUAUAUUUAAGGAAGUAAAGGGUAAAUGUCUAGUGUCUACAUACAGUAUCCACAUGCUAUGCUCAUGUACAGAUGAGUGGAAGCCUUAGAGAAAACAGUAAGUCUUUGCCAGCCUCUACAGGUAUUCAACUUGAAUGCAUCCUGAGCAAAAUUGUGGAAUUGAACAGGAGAGUCUUUAUUUUAAAAUGGCUUAGUAGAAUUCAAUUGCUUUAGAUGAUUUACAUUGUAGGAGCUAUUCUUUGUGGAAUGAAAGCUAAAUAGAACUUGAUCAAUAUGUGUGUGGGCUUACAAGUGAAAACCAGAAGUUUUGUGUGGAGUAGAAAAUACUUUAUGUGGAAAGAUGUAGAGAACUGACAUAAGAAGAUGGUCUACAAAAUAAAAUACUCUUGCAAAAAAAGAUCUGAAUGGAAGGAAAUGAUUUAUAUGUUGUGGUCAGAGAAAAGGAUAUUAGCAGUAACUGAGAUGAGGAGAGCUUGUGCAAGAUUCCCAGCCAUGUCAGUAACUCACAGAACUCACAGCAGUUUGGACCAAUCUGAAUCUAAAACUCACAUUCCUGGCUCUGAAGUUCCACCUACUCCUUUGCGCAGUUAGCUGUGAAAUAACUGAGCUGAAAAGUGGUUGGUUGUCAGCCAGAUCAUUUAUCUAGCACACACUCAUUACAUGACAGUAAAUUGCAAUGGAAAUACCUUAAGUUUGAAAGGAGACAGUAGUAUGAGGUAAUCGUAUCUGUAUUUGUCAAUUAGGAUAAUGAGGUAUGAGCUAGGAGAGAAGGGAGGAGAGAAAUUAUAGCAGAGUUCACUGGUGUUCUUGCAGACAUGGGUAAGAAACACAAGGGAAGCUAUUGCUGGGCCAGGCUGAAGCAGCAACUGGGGAAACAGCAAUAGGUGAGAAUAAUUGCAAAAGCUAAGGAAAGAGGAAAGCUAGCUAUGCUAAAAGUGUCUGGAGACAAAAGAGUUUGGUUUAAGUUGUGUUAAGAAGCUUUUAGAUGAGUAGAGGAAGCAAAACUGUGUUUGAAGUGAAUUUAGGGUGCAGCCAGACAGGAGAUGUGGUUGGAAGACUUACAAACAUGAGAUGAGAGGAGGCACUUCUAAGGAAGGAUCAUAUUAAAUUAAUUGAUUGAUGUACAAGAGGCUGAAGUGCAUCUGUGUGGGUGCUGAGGGGUCAGAGCAGAGUGUAUGACAACAGCUUGUGAACAUAUAAAAGAAUGGGCUUGGGGGUGAUCAGGAAAUAAAAUGGAAGAAGGUCAGUAGAGCAAGUGAUGGAGUUACAGAGGAUGUGUAGAUAAGAAGUUUGUUAUUACUUGGAGUCUUGUGGAAAUAAUAACAUCUUUAAAGAAAAUUGUGAGAUAGCAAAUACAUGAAAGCAGAAAUGAAGGCUUGAAUUGGGUUAGUCAGAAGCAAUAAAAAGUUAGCUAGGAAUACAGGCAUGUAGGCAAGCUGCAGCAGAAUUGUUUAGCGGUAAGAAAUGGAGGAGGGAGAAGGCUUGCAGGAGCGGAAGUGAGCUUGGUCACAGGAUUUCCGUCAAAGACACUUCGCACUGCAAAAGCAAGCACGGAUGAAGCAGGUUCUGGAGAAAUGCUUCUGGAAACAGCAAGGAGGAGAAAUUCUGACACAGAAGGAUGGGGGAAGGAGCGAAGUGCACAGGACGCUGCUCGUGGGGAAGCUUCAGCAGAUAAGGAUGCACAGACGGAUAUUGAUAUAUUUUUUUUUUCCUAUCUUGGCUAACUGGGAGCAAAAUGCACACACCAAAGAAAUUGCAAGAGAUUAAAGUCGACAGUAUUUUGUGAGGAUAUUAAUUUCAACAUUUCUUAUGUAAUCAUCUGAAAUAUUCACUGGGGCCGAGGAGGCUUUUGAGCUGCCAAACCUAGGCUCAGCAUUGUAAGCACUUACUUUGCAAACAGCUCUUGCCAAAUUAAUCCUGAGCUAAAAGAAAAAGUAGAUGAACUCCCAAAUUUUUCUAGGAAUUCAUUUCUCAUAAAACACAUCUUUCCCUUAUCUGUGAGUAGUUGCUGCGUUUACAAUACCUUCAAAUCAACUGUUGGUUAAGCUGUCUCUGUUAGAGAAGCCAACAUCAUAUGCCUGUAUUAGCAAAGUCAGUCUAUAUCUGAAUUGUUCAAGCCUUGAGCAUUUUUGUCUCUCGGAGCCUCUGUGUUUUGGGGUAUGAGGAAAACAAACAAUUUCAACCUUUGAUUUGUAAACAUGCUUCAAACCGUCAGGAAUGAGGCUACUGUGAUUUUGUUUCUAAUUUCUAUUUGUACAUUGUUUACAUUUCUUAUGGAAAGUAUGGUUAAGGCAGAGUGGGUCUUUCUUACACAAAAGCCUGCUUUGGCAGGAAACUUCCAUUUCUUCUGCUGGCCAUUACUAUGCAACGUUACAUCUAUUGCUCUCUGCGCGUUUUGCCUUGUGCCCUUUCUCCUUUGCAUCAGCUUUCAGCCUGUUUUCAAUAAAAAGAAAUGAAGCCCA